This 497-nucleotide ribosomal RNA is filed under the name uncultured bacterium. RNAcentral describes it as "partial 16S ribosomal RNA". It matches the Rfam family "Bacterial small subunit ribosomal RNA", at positions 28 to 507 of the family's 1533-position model. The record is from RNAcentral.
GAUGAACGCUGGCGGCGUGCCUAAUACAUGCAAGUCGAGCGAACAGACGAGGAGCUUGCUCCUCUGACGUUAGCGGCGGACGGGUGAGUAACACGUGGAUAACCUACCUAUAAGACUGGGAUAACUUCGGGAAACCGGAGCUAAUACCGGAUAAUAUAUUGAACCGCAUGGUUCAAUAGUGAAAGACGGUUUUGCUGUCACUUAUAGAUGGAUCCGCGCCGCAUUAGCUAGUUGGUAAGGUAACGGCUUACCAAGGCGACGAUGCGUAGCCGACCUGAGAGGGUGAUCGGCCACACUGGAACUGAGACACGGUCCAGACUCCUACGGGAGGCAGCAGUAGGGAAUCUUCCGCAAUGGGCGCAAGCCUGACGGAGCCACGCCGCGUGAGUGAUGAAGGUCUUCGGAUCGUAAAACUCUGUUAUUAGGGAAGAACAAAUGUGUAAGUAACUAUGCACGUCUUGACGGUACCUAAUCAGAAAGCCACGGCUAACUACGUG